CUUAAAAUUUGUUGGCGCGGACGGGUACAACCAGUUCUAGCUAGGCUCUGGUUGUAGUGUAAAAAUAGGAAGAUGGAAUACUACUAAAAUGGAAAUAGUUCACUGUGAACGAGUAAGAGCCAGUGAUGUCACUAACAUACUAAGGAUAAUAUAAAAAGGGUACUGAGAAUAUUAGGAUUCAACAUUAUAAUUGAAGAAGAUGUAGAACAUCAGCAGAGUACCUCUAACGUUGUCUGUUAUAUGCUAUCCUUUUUACUCAUCUUGCAUGGAAAACAAGAUUGAAUAUACGUUAUAUCAUACAUUCCUUAUGGCAAAUAAGGUUCUUUGCUUUUAUUUUUACCAUAUCUUCCAUUCACUGAUUUUUAUGGGCGUUGACGUUCACUGAUUUUCAGAAUGAAAAAAAAAUUAAGCCAUUUGGAAAUUAUAAUAAAAUUAAGGAAUGAUAAGGUGCUUGCCUCAUAGAUGGUGAUGGUAACUCCUUUUAGGGCGAUGUUAGAGAAGCCAUGAUUUCUAUUCACACUUGAUUGGUUUGGACAUCAAUUUCCAGAACUAGCAGAAGACUUCCUGUCCUGUUUGAUAACAAAUAUCUUAGGAAUAUAACCAGAGAUGUCGACUAUGGUCCUUUUAACUAUUUUUUAAAUAUAUUAAAUAUCACUUGACUGAUUUUCAAGUUUACGAGAAAACAGGCAUUCAAUGUAUUCAAACUAAUUAUCGAGCAUCAUCAAGUUAACUACGAAACAAUUUUCUUUAAGAUUAACUCAGUUCAGGACAUCUGAAGAAACUUCAAAAUUCCUUAAGUGUAUCGACAGUAUAAGUUUACAGAUCCAGAAUUUGAAAAUGCUGCAAUGGAUUGAUUUGAAUAACUGUUAAGUGAAAAUGAAUGAUUUUCAAAGCAAUACAAUGUGGAGACAAAAAUUGAUAGACUUGAGAAUUGGACAUCAAGAUGUAUCGAUUAUUAACAGUAAUAGUAAAGGAAACGAGAUUUUGAAACCAAUUCCAUUCGCGUAAGUUUUGUCUAUCUGAAAAAUCUAGCAGUGGCAAAAUUUAUCAUAUUUUCAAUAACUAAUCAUGUGAGUCAUGGUUUUCAUUUAAGAGCAUUGUCAAGUCUAAUUAUAGAAGUAGUCUUACCGAUGGACUCUUGCGUUAUGCAUAGCUCUUGAAACAACCAAAUACAAUGCUAAAAUAAAGUAUCAAAGUAUCUGUGUUCGAACGCACAGAAGCUGAGUAACACGUUUAUUUCCCUUUCGAUUUUUGUUUUGGCUUUAAAAAUAUUUGCAUUGACAGUAUAAUUUAUGAAUAAAGUUAGUUUUCUAUCGUCUUCAUAAAACAUUGAAUCAUAUUUUUGGUCUUGCUUAUAAAAUGCAACACUAUAAAUUGUUAUUUUCUAUUACCCGUUUCUUUAAAAGCCAUUAACAAUAAUUGUUUGAAGGUGCUAUCUAAAAUGCUUUCAUUUAUUUUAAUUUCACUUCCUCUGAUAUAUAUUUGUUAGUAGCACAUAGCU
Octopus sinensis (East Asian common octopus) is the source of this 1501-nucleotide long non-coding RNA. RefSeq lists it as uncharacterized. NCBI's taxonomy places the organism in Eukaryota, Metazoa, Mollusca, Cephalopoda, Octopoda, Octopodidae. The record is from RefSeq and is a predicted model, not a curated record. The transcript has 3 exons.